Anopheles coluzzii is the source of this 817-nucleotide long non-coding RNA. RefSeq lists it as uncharacterized. The record is from RefSeq and is a predicted model, not a curated record. The transcript is spliced from 3 exons. NCBI's taxonomy places the organism in Eukaryota, Metazoa, Arthropoda, Insecta, Diptera, Culicidae.
CACGAUUAAAAUAAUCAUGCUCACACAUUUCCAGAACUCCGACCCCAACCUCCACGUGGUGCUGGCUGGACUACAACUGUUGCACAAAAUGUGCAACAAUUGUAUACCAACUGGGGCGGGGGUGUUGUGUUUUUGUUUGUCGUUUCAGAUCACCGUUUUGCUGUCGAUCAACGGAUACAUUUAUAGUUUUGCUUGCAGCAAAACAAAGGUAGGUUGCAAUAAUACUUACGUUCCAUUUUAUAACAAACUAAUUAUUGUAACUAUUUUUUUCAGUAACUUUUAUGUGCGACAUCGAACCACCAAUCCAUCUCGGAACCAUGUCCUGUCGACACUCUCACCAAGGACGGUUUUAUAUGAUGUAUGCCGCGUGCGGAGUGAGUGGCAAACGAUACUUCAUCUAAGCUGCUCAACGUUUUCUUCCUCUGCUGCGGUAUCGGAAUCGUAACAUCGUAAAUAUGGCCCCAGCGACCUAUUUCUAUUGUUGCGACAAAUGUCAGCACGCGUCGUACGAAUCAUCGGUGGUAUGCUGUCCGAAGAACAAAGCUGCCACAGCUGAACCCACAGCCCGAUUGCACGAUCAGCACAGUUACAGCAUAGCGUAAGGUUCAACACCCGGGGCUCGCGUUGAGCUAACAGCACGGCACCGUCAACGACACGAUCGGUCACCCAACGCCAUGCCCGUCGAAUGAUCCGCCCUCCACCGACCAAUCUGCUGACGCCGAUGGGCGCCCAAUCGCGCAACUCGGAAACAGAAUCUGCCUCACCCCCACGACCGUGACAUUACUAUUAGAUAAUAAAAGUGCGAUUGAUGGUUCGA